GCCCUGGUGGUGGAAUGGUAUACACGGCAGGUUGAGGGCCUGUGCCCUUAGGGCGUGGAGGUUCGAGUCCUCUCCAGGGCA
This 81-nucleotide transfer RNA is filed under the name Chloroflexota bacterium. RNAcentral's name for it is "Chloroflexi bacterium (groundwater metagenome) tRNA-Leu". It matches the Rfam family "tRNA". From Rfam's summary of the family: Transfer RNA (tRNA) molecules are approximately 80 nucleotides in length. Their secondary structure includes four short double-helical elements and three loops (D, anti-codon, and T loops). Further hydrogen bonds mediate the characteristic L-shaped molecular structure. tRNAs have two regions of fundamental functional importance: the anti-codon, which is responsible for specific mRNA codon recognition, and the 3' end, to which the tRNAs corresponding amino acid is attached (by aminoacyl-tRNA synthetases). tRNAs cope with the degeneracy of the genetic code in two manners: having more than one tRNA (with a specific anti-codon) for a particular amino acid; and 'wobble' base-pairing, i.e. permitting non-standard base-pairing at the 3rd anti-codon position. Lineage: Bacteria; Bacillati; Chloroflexota. The record is from RNAcentral.